UCCCCGUUUAACAGGGCAGUCUGAACAGAGUGCGCCCUCCCGAAAGAGGGGUGGCAACAGUUCACAAGGGUUGCGCUCGUUGCGGGACUUAACCCAACAUCUCACGACACGAGCUGACGACAGCCAUGCAGCACCUGUGAUGGUUACACCCUUGCGGGCAAUCAGCAGACUUUCAUCCGCCUAAUUCCACCAUGUCAAGGCCAGGUAAGGUUCUUCGCGUUGCAUCGAAUUAAGCCACAUACUCCACCGCUUGUGCGGGCCCCCGUCAAUUUCUUUGAGUUUUAAUCUUGCGACCGUACUCCCCAGGCGGCACGUUUAACGCGUUAGCUCCGGCACGGAAGGGGUCGAAUCCUCCCACACCAAACGUGCACCGUUUACUGCCAGGACUAC
Molecule: unclassified non-coding RNA, 390 nt
Filed under: uncultured Chthoniobacteraceae bacterium
Lineage: Bacteria; Pseudomonadati; Verrucomicrobiota; Spartobacteria; Chthoniobacterales; Chthoniobacteraceae
Description: contains 16S-23S intergenic spacer region
Source: RNAcentral